CGUUUGAGACGUUUGUCAAACUCAUCCUUGUUUCGGUAAACAACAGUCACCAGUCUACAAGAGGCAGAAAGAAAAGAUAAACCAACUGGCCAACAUGCUGCGACUAUUGCUACUAGUAACAGUAGCUAUUUCUUAUGUGAACAGCUACAACAACGAAUGUACAUAUAAUGGAAAGAAGUAUACAGGAGUAUUUAAGAUCGACUGCAACACGUGUGUAUGUGACACAAAUAACAAAGCAAUUUGUUCAAAUUUACGUUGUGGUUAUGGGAAGGGGCCUUCAUGUACAUAUCAAGGCAGACGUUACAGAGUAGGACAGACAUUCCAGCAGUCUUGUAAUACAUGUAAAUGCAACUAUGAUGGCCAGAUAAAAUGUGACAACAAAGACUGUCCUAAACGAUGUACUUAUAAAGAAAAGCAGUACCAAGAAGGUGAAGAAUUCAAUGACAACUGUAAUAAAUGUAAAUGUCUUUCUUCUGGAUAUGUUCAGUGUACCAAUAAUGUGUGUCAGUGCCAAUACAAUGGUAAAGACUACAAUAUUGGAGAGAGUUUUAACGAUGGCUGUAAGACUUGCACUUGUCAAACUAGAGGAAUAGUGCAGUGUAACAGUGAUAGAUGUGGAUGUACUUAUAAAAAUGUACAAUAUCAAAUCGGCCAAACCUUCACUGAUGAUUGCAAUACUUGCGAAUGUUUGAACAAUGGUCAGGUUAAAUGUACUAACAAAAUUUGUAAGUGUUACUUCAGAGGAAGAGUAUUAAGUGUGGGCCAGAAAUUUGAAGGGGAUUGUAACAUUUGCUAUUGUAGAGACAACGGUCAGUUAGAAUGUACAAAGAAAAUUUGUCAAUGUACUUAUCAAGGACAGACAUACCGAGUUGGACAAACAUUCAGUAAUGAUUGUAACCAAUGUGAAUGUUUAAGAAGCGGUAUUGUGCAGUGCUCUCUAACAAACCAUGUAAGUGUAUAUACAAUGGAAACACCUACGAAAUAGGGACUACAUUUAAAAAGGACUGUAAUACGUGCACAUGCAAAGCCGAUGGGACAGUAGACUGCACAACCGAUGUUUGUGAAUGUAAGUACAACAACCAGAUAUAUAAAGUAGGAGAAACAUUUAAACAGGGCUGUAAUACGUGCACAUG
Octopus sinensis (East Asian common octopus) is the source of this 1133-nucleotide RNA transcript. It is a transcript of the gene named kielin/chordin-like protein, with no coding region annotated. NCBI's taxonomy places the organism in Eukaryota, Metazoa, Mollusca, Cephalopoda, Octopoda, Octopodidae. The record is from RefSeq and is a predicted model, not a curated record. The transcript has 3 exons.